Molecule: ribosomal RNA, 447 nt
Filed under: uncultured bacterium
Lineage: Bacteria
Description: bacterial SSU rRNA
Rfam family: Bacterial small subunit ribosomal RNA
Source: RNAcentral
UGGGGAAUAUUGGACAAUGGGCGCAAGCCUGAUCCAGCCAUGCCGCGUGAGUGACGAAGGCCUUAGGGUUGUAAAGCUCUUUUGGCGGGGACGAUAAUGACGGUACCCGCAGAAUAAGCCCCGGCUAACUUCGUGCCAGCAGCCGCGGUAAUACGAAGGGGGCUAGCGUUGUUCGGAAUCACUGGGCAUAAAGCGCGUGUAGGCGGGUCGUUAAGUUGGGGGUGAAAUCCCGAGGCUCAACCUCGGAACUGCCUUCAAAACUGGCGACCUGGACCUAAGUAGAGGCAAGUGGAAUUGCGAGUGUAGAGGUGAAAUUCGUAGAUAUUCGCAGGAACACCAGUGGCGAAGGCGACUUGCUGGACUUAUGGUGACGCUGAGACGCGAAAGCGUGGGGAGCAAACAGGAUUAGAUACCCCCGUAGUCCCUGAGCGGGCUGGCAAGGCGCAU